This 429-nucleotide ribosomal RNA is filed under the name uncultured eukaryote. RNAcentral's name for it is "SSU rRNA". It matches the Rfam family "Eukaryotic small subunit ribosomal RNA", at positions 538 to 972 of the family's 1831-position model. The record is from RNAcentral.
CCAGCACCUGCGGUAAGACCGUCAGACCCAGCAGCUGCGGUAAUUCCAGCUCCAAUAGCGUAUAUUAAAGUUGUUGUGGUUAAAAGGCUCGUAGUUGGAUCUCAACGAUCUUGAAGCGGUCGACUAAGUGUUGUACUGCUUUGUAGGUCGUGCUUUUGCUGGAGGUUUAGAGGUGCUCUUGAUCGAGUGUCUCUAGAUGCCAGCAGGUUUACUUUGAAAAAAUUAGAGUGCUCAAAGCAGGCUAUUCCGCCUGAAUAUUCGUGCAUGGAAUAAUAGAAUAGGAUGUCGAUCCUAUUUUGUUGGUUUUCGGGACUCGACAUAAUGAUUAAUAGGGACAAUUGGGGGCAUUUGUAUUCAAACGACAGAGGUGAAAUUCUUGGACCGUUUGAAGACAAACUACUGCGAAAGCAUUUGCCAAGAAUGUUUUCA